RNAcentral lists this ribosomal RNA (253 nucleotides) under uncultured bacterium. RNAcentral describes it as "partial 16S ribosomal RNA". It matches the Rfam family "Bacterial small subunit ribosomal RNA", at positions 524 to 776 of the family's 1533-position model. The record is from RNAcentral.
UACGGAGGGUGCGAGCGUUAUUCGGAAUUACUGGGCGUAAAGAGCGUGUAGGCGGCCGAGCAAGUCUGAUGUGAAAGCCCGGGGCUCAACCCUGGAAGGGCAUGGGAAACUGUUUGGCUUGAGUACCGGAGAGGAAAGGUGAAUUCCCGGUGUAGCGGUGAAAUGCGUAGAUAUCGGGAGGAAUACCGGUGGCGAAGGCGCCUUUCUGGACGGAUACUGACGCUGAGAUGCGAAAGCGUGGGGAGCAAACAGG